Molecule: ribosomal RNA, 343 nt
Filed under: uncultured Campylobacterota bacterium
Lineage: Bacteria; Pseudomonadati; Campylobacterota
Description: bacterial SSU rRNA
Rfam family: Bacterial small subunit ribosomal RNA
Source: RNAcentral
UCAGCUCGUGUCGUGAGAUGUUGGGUUAAGUCCCGCAACGAGCGCAACCCUCGUCGUUAGUUACUAACAGUUCGGCUGAGGACUCUAGACAGACUGCCUGGGUAACCAGGAGGAAGGUGAGGACGACGUCAAGUCAUCAUGGCCCUUACGGCCAGGGCUACACACGUGCUACAAUGGGGUAUACAAAGAGCCGCAAUACCGCGAGGUGGAGCAAAUCUCAUAAAAUAUCUCCCAGUUCGGAUUGGAGUCUGCAACUCGACUCCAUGAAGUUGGAAUCGCUAGUAAUCGUGAAUCACAAAUACCACGGUGAAUACGUUCCCGGGUCUUGUACUCACCUCCCGUC